RNAcentral lists this ribosomal RNA (460 nucleotides) under uncultured bacterium. Its description in RNAcentral is "partial 16S ribosomal RNA". It matches the Rfam family "Bacterial small subunit ribosomal RNA", at positions 338 to 795 of the family's 1533-position model. The record is from RNAcentral.
CCUACGGGAGGCAGCAGUGAGGAAUAUUGGUCAAUGGACGCAAGUCUGAACCAGCCAUGCCGCGUGCAGGAAGACGGCUCUAUGAGUUGUAAACUGCUUUUGUACGAGGGUAAACGCAGAUACGCGUAUCUGUCUGAAAGUAUCGUACGAAUAAGGAUCGGUUAACUCCGUGCCAGCAGCCGCGGUAAUACGGAGGAUUCAAGCGUUAUCCGGAUUUAUUGGGUUUAAAGGGUGCGUAGGCGGUCGGAAAAGUUGGGGGGAAAAUCCCGAGGCUAAACGUCGGAAUUGCCUUUGAUACUGUUCGGCUGGAGGGCAGAUGCGGUGGGAGGAAUGUGUGGUGUAGCGGUGAAAUGCUUAGAUAUCAUACAGAACACCGAUUGCGAAGGCAGCUUACGAAGCUACGUCUGACGUUGAGGCACGAAAGCGUGGGGAGCAAACAGGAUUAGAUACCCUUGUAGUC